AGGGGAGUAGCUCAAUUGGUAGAGUGGCGGACUCCAAAUCCGUAGGUUGCGGGUUCAAUUCCUGUCUCCCCUGCCA
RNAcentral lists this transfer RNA (76 nucleotides) under Clostridia bacterium. RNAcentral's name for it is "tRNA-Trp". It matches the Rfam family "tRNA". From Rfam's summary of the family: Transfer RNA (tRNA) molecules are approximately 80 nucleotides in length. Their secondary structure includes four short double-helical elements and three loops (D, anti-codon, and T loops). The record is from RNAcentral. RNAcentral also lists the same sequence under 1 other name. Lineage: Bacteria; Bacillati; Bacillota; Clostridia.